UUUUCUCUUUCCUUGUAGUAUGGGGAAGGAGUGGACUCUAGGACUGGUGGUACUACUAAUUUGAGUAAUCGAAUUGUAUCAAUUCUUUAUUGAUAGUUUUGCGAAGCCUAAAAAAAAAUGUCUCUUUUUCAAAAUGAUAUCUGGAAUAUAGUAAUGAGUAAGAAAACACAAUAAUGAAUAAUAACCAUUCGAUCAAACAAUGAAUAAUUACCAUAAUUGUAUUUUGAAACUCAAAUCUACGCAUGCUAGGAAAUUUUGUCUAACCGAAUUUUCCUAACUAUUCUAUUUUGGUGAAUCAGCUCUUACCAAAAUUUUGGAUAUUACAACGAGAAAAACCAACCCCUAUUUUUUCUUUCUUUGUUUCACUCUUUCUUUACUUUUACUGUUCUAAGAGAAAGGUGUUCCGCUAUUACGGGAAUACAUCCUUUCUACUAGAAGUGACUAGUAGUUGUCCAAAGAAGUCCUACACAAAAAAAAGAUCUUUCUUCGGUUGAUCAAUCUGCAUAUCGAACACUUAACGUUUGUUUUAGACUCUUAGAAUUUUUUUUAUGUUUUUUUUU
This 560-nucleotide unclassified non-coding RNA is filed under the name Ixiolirion songaricum. Its description in RNAcentral is "ycf6-psbM intergenic spacer". The record is from RNAcentral. Lineage: Eukaryota; Viridiplantae; Streptophyta; Magnoliopsida; Asparagales; Ixioliriaceae.